RNAcentral lists this ribosomal RNA (844 nucleotides) under uncultured bacterium. RNAcentral describes it as "bacterial SSU rRNA". It matches the Rfam family "Bacterial small subunit ribosomal RNA", at positions 8 to 812 of the family's 1533-position model. The record is from RNAcentral.
AGAGUUUUUUCCUGGCUCAGGACGAACGCUGGCGGCGUGCCUAAUACAUGCAAGUCGAGCGAGCUUGCCUAGAUGAUUUUAGUGCUUGCACUAAAUGAAACUAGAUACAAGCGAGCGGCGGACGGGUGAGUAACACGUGGGUAACCUGCCCAAGAGACUGGGAUAACACCUGGAAACAGAUGCUAAUACCGGAUAACAACACUAGACGCAUGUCUAGAGUUUGAAAGAUGGUUCUGCUAUUACUCUUGGAUGGACCUGCGGUGCAUUAGCUAGUUGGUAAGGUAACGGCUUACCAAGGCAAUGAUGCGUAGCCGAGUUGAGAGACUGAUCGGCCACAUUGGGACUGAGACACGGCCCAAACUCCUACGGGAGGCAGCAGUAGGGAAUCUUCCACAAUGGACGAAAGUCUGAUGGAGCAACGCCGCGUGAGUGAAGAAGGGUUUCGGCUCGUAAAGCUCUGUUGGUAGUGAAGAAAGAUAGAGGUAGUAACUGGCCUUUAUUUGACGGUAAUUACUUAGAAAGUCACGGCUAACUACGUGCCAGCAGCCGCGGUAAUACGUAGGUGGCAAGCGUUGUCCGGAUUUAUUGGGCGUAAAGCGAGUGCAGGCGGUUCAAUAAGUCUGAUGUGAAAGCCUUCGGCUCAACCGGAGAAUUGCAUCAGAAACUGUUGAACUUGAGUGCAGAAGAGGAGAGUGGAACUCCAUGUGUAGCGGUGGAAUGCGUAGAUAUAUGGAAGAACACCAGUGGCGAAGGCGGCUCUCUGGUCUGCAACUGACGCUGAGGCUCGAAAGCAUGGGUAGCGAACAGGAUUAGAUACCCUGGUAGUCCAUGCCGUAAACGAUGA